UACGUAGGGUGCAAGCGUUAUCCGGAAUUAUUGGGCGUAAAGAGCUCGUAGGCGGUUUGUCGCGUCUGCUGUGAAAACUGGAGGCUCAACCUCCAGCCUGCAGUGGGUACGGGCAAACUAGAGUGCGGUAGGGGAGAUUGGAAUUCCUGGUGUAGCGGUGGAAUGCGCAGAUAUCAGGAGGAACACCGGUGGCGAAGGCGGAUCUCUGGGCCGUAACUGACGCUGAGGAGCGAAAGCAUGGGGAGCGAACAGG
Molecule: ribosomal RNA, 253 nt
Filed under: uncultured bacterium
Lineage: Bacteria
Description: partial 16S ribosomal RNA
Rfam family: Bacterial small subunit ribosomal RNA
Source: RNAcentral